RNAcentral lists this ribosomal RNA (911 nucleotides) under uncultured bacterium. Its description in RNAcentral is "bacterial SSU rRNA". It matches the Rfam family "Bacterial small subunit ribosomal RNA", at positions 33 to 926 of the family's 1533-position model. The record is from RNAcentral.
ACGCUGGCGGCGUGCCUAAUACAUGCAAGUAGAACGCUGAAGAGAGGAGCUUGCUCUUCUUGAAUGAGUUGCGAACGGGUGAGUAACGCGUAGGUAACCUGCCUUGUAGCGGGGGAUAACUAUUGGAAACGAUAGCUAAUACCGCAUAACAAUGGGUGACACAUGUCAUUUAUUUGAAAGGGGCAAUUGCUCCACUACAAGAUGGACCUGCGUUGUAUUAGCUAGUAGGUGAGGUAACGGCUCACCUAGGCGACGAUACAUAGCCGACCUGAGAGGGUGAUCGGCCACACUGGGACUGAGACACGGCCCAGACUCCUACGGGAGGCAGCAGUAGGGAAUCUUCGGCAAUGGGGGCAACCCUGACCGAGCAACGCCGCGUGAGUGAAGAAGGUUUUCGGAUCGUAAAGCUCUGUUGUAAGUCAAGAACGAGUGUGAGAGUGGAAAGUUCACACUGUGACGGUAGCUUACCAGAAAGGGACGGCUAACUACGUGCCAGCAGUCGCGGUAAUACGUAGGUCCCGAGCGUUGUCCGGAUUUAUUGGGCGUAAAGCGAGCGCAGGCGGUUUGAUAAGUCUGAAGUUAAAGGCUGUGGCUCAACCAUAGUUCGCUUUGGAAACUGUCAAACUUGAGUGCAGAAGGGGAGAGUGGAAUUCCAUGUGUAGCGGUGAAAUGCGUAGAUAUAUGGAGGAACACCGGUGGCGAAAGCGGCUCUCUGGUCUGUAACUGACGCUGAGGCUCGAAAGCGUGGGGAGCGAACAGGAUUAGAUACCCUGGUAGUCCACGCCGUAAACGAUGAGUGCUAGGUGUUGGAUCCUUUCCGGGAUUCAGUGCCGCAGCUAACGCAUUAAGCACUCCGCCUGGGGAGUACGACCGCAAGGUUGAAACUCAAAGGAAUUGACGGGGGCCCGCAC